GUGGACCACGUACCUACUACUGCAGUGCUUGACCCGGUCUAAGGACCUGUUUAAUCCCGGAGUUGCCCUUAAUUUGCGACUGGGUUGCUACACAUGCUACGGACGAAGCAUUCUCAUCAAAUACACAAGAGGAAGGAAAUGUGUAGCAUAGUACUACUGAAAACGAAGCAAUGUCAAGUAGCUGCAAGGAUGCCAGUCUGCCUUGAAAAUAAACAAACAAUACAACAAAGUCACAUGAUGAGGAGCAUGUGAGCAGAUUUAACAGAUGAAGUGCGGAAAAAUAGGUCCAAAAAAGAUCUUACAACGUUUCCCGCAAUUACAAUUUCCCCUUGGUACAGAGGAGGAUAAUGUUACACACACAAUUUGAAGAACAUCUUUAAGAUGUCCUGAAUGUCCUACACCAGACGUCUUAAAGACGUCUCUGGGCUAUCUGGGUAUGUAUUUCCACGUGUAUUUCGCAAGUUCCACUUUACCGAUUGAUUUUUAUCGC
Non-coding RNA from Megalopta genalis, 490 nucleotides. The record is from RefSeq and is a predicted model, not a curated record. NCBI's taxonomy places the organism in Eukaryota, Metazoa, Arthropoda, Insecta, Hymenoptera, Halictidae.